Molecule: long non-coding RNA, 698 nt
Filed under: Catharus ustulatus (Swainson's thrush)
Lineage: Eukaryota; Metazoa; Chordata; Aves; Passeriformes; Turdidae
Description: lncRNA (ENSCUSG00005007417.1)
Source: RNAcentral
AUGUUUUGUCUCUGCCAGGUGAGAUCAGGGAUGUGCCUUUGCAGAGGGACAUGGAGUGGGAUAUGCAUAUGGAUUGACUUCAGCAGCAUGCUCCUGGCCUGGGAUGAGCACCAUCCCUGUCCUGGAAUUGGCAGUGACCGUUCUACUGUGAGAAAACCUGCAGGAUCUAUAUGGGGCAGUGCCAUCAUGCCUGGCCCAGAGCCCUGCAGCUCAUGCUCAGAUCCCCAGAAAAAGGGGGGGGACACCAAUGCAAGAGUUCACACAUCCCAAAAUAGCGAGACAAGGAAAAGCAAGUUGUCCAUCAGUGGCACUUCCUUAUGUCACACCAGCUGGCAGCACCGUGAGCUGGGCUCGCACUGCCAUCCUUGUGUGGGUAGAGAUGCUCCUGAGGCCAAGCAAGUCUUUGGGCUGCAGAGACAGACGGGACAGGACCAGCCCUUGGACUUCCCAGCAGGUGAAUGGAGAGAGCAGAUCGUUGUUCAUCAUGGGGGUCCCAGCUUCCCUCACCGCCUUUGGAACCGGUCGUGGCAUCCUCCCAGGAUUAUAAAUCCAACCACACUGAAUCCGGAGUGAAUCGGAGAGACUGCCCCAAAGCAGUCUGGAAAAACAGGCGUCAGCAAGCCUGGAACUUGGGCAUCUGAUGGUUUGGAAGGAAAUUUCUCAAUCCAGCGUGGAUCCCUGCUGCUGUAUGGGUUUGU